GAAGUGCUCAUAAGAACACUAAGCUGAGAAGCAGGCUUUGUCCCAGUUGGGACGUAACGCCAGAAAGAAGAAGAAGAAGUAUCACAACAGCUAUGGAAGGGGAGAAAGACGCCGCCAGAGGAUGGAUGAUUAACGAGAGCCGGCGAAAGUGAAAAUGGAAAUCAAUCUUCUUCGGACGCUUGGUUUUCGGGGGGAUCAACCCGGACACGGGCCGAGGCCGGAAGACACCGAGGCCUAACUGAGAACAUAACGGUGUCGACCUUAUAGAGCAAAACUCUCCAUAUCGUGAAUCGUCGUGGCAUAGAAUGGAAAAAGUGCGUCUGCCGUUACCCUCCUCCUACACGGCCCAUGAGAAUUCCAGAGAAACAGCUGUUAUAGUUAACCAGUAAACGAGAGUCGUAGGAAUCCCCCGUCCUGCUCGCGUAAUAUCCAACCAUUAAUAAUUCAUGGGCGUUCUCCCUUGAUUUGUGCUUGGCGGCGUACAAUUCGUGCCCCGUUAGGCUUCUUCGUUGGGGGCACGACCUGCACACGUUAAUGGACACGCAACCGUCCAUCACCGUCCCGGCACGAACACAUGGCAACACGGAUUUCACAUUACGGAGCUUUCACCCCGGAUGGGGAAUCUAGGAAGGAGGAGGACGACAAGUGCAUGCCCUCCGUGUCGGAUGAGCAAAGAAAAAUUACAACAGGGGCAGUUAUCGAGUUUCGAGCACGCGCCCUCACGUGCGCCCGGCCCGGUUCCCCGAACCGUGCGGGUUGAUUGAUUUUUCAAGAGUUCUCACCUCUUCUGGGCGGAAAAUCCAAUAUCGCGAACCAACAAAGCAACAAGCAUCCUCAAAACUCCCCCUCUUUCCGAUGGAGAGAAAGAAGCAAGUUAAUAAAUUGCGUUUUUUGAGGUUAUGCGAGGGAUACGGGGAAGUAGAUAAAUAAUUUGGUGUGCUCGGGUCACGAUUUCCGCGGAGGAAGAUGAUAAAGCUUUAAAUUACGAACACGCAGCUUCCCGGCAGACGUAUACUUACAUAGAAAUGAGGUGCGUGUUUCACCCGACUAAACAGAAGCGAACACGUGCCAGACUGAAGCAAAUUUGUCACCGCCAACAACCGUCGCCAAAAAAUGUUGCUUUUCCCGUAAAAAAAAACGUUUUUAACAAUCAAAUAAAUUUCGUAUCACAUAUAGGUUAGGAGAUUUGUUGCUAAUUAUCCACGGCAACUGGAAAAGAAUCCGGCUCCGUAACGCUGAUGGUGCAUGAGCCUCAACCACAACAACUCAGUUUUGACAGUUCUGGCGUCACCGCCAGGCUUACUUUGUCGUUUCAGGUUAUGGGCCCAUACUUCGUUCAUUAUGACAGGUAACAAUUCAGCUUUCCGUUUUCCCCGAACGGAAUUAGUUACGAGAAGAAAACUAAUGGCUAAAUAGAGAAAUGGUGCUGUGGUUGCAAACCAAUCGAUGGCAAGCAAGCAACCACAGAAGCCAGCAAAGAAAUCGAAAUGUUGUGAAUUUUUAAAAACUAUUGCUCGAUAGGGAGUAAAAACACAGUUGCACGUAAGCGCGCAAUGCAUUUUUCAUCGGCCGUAAAGAAUCGGACGCAGACGGGUAAGAUUCUCCGGGAUGGAAGUUCAAGGAACGGUUCGUGGCCAAGAGCCUGAAUUAUGCAGGGUUGAUAAACGGCUCGAAUGGACGGUACAUACAUUUUGAAAAAUGCAAUUCUGAGGCUUGAUUCUGCUCGAGAUAAUGAUAUCGUUUAAUCAUUUAGG
Molecule: long non-coding RNA, 1754 nt
Filed under: Aedes aegypti (yellow fever mosquito)
Lineage: Eukaryota; Metazoa; Arthropoda; Insecta; Diptera; Culicidae
Description: lncRNA AAEL023395
Source: RNAcentral